Molecule: transfer RNA, 88 nt
Filed under: Candidatus Calescibacterium sp.
Lineage: Bacteria; Candidatus Calescibacteriota; Candidatus Calescibacteriales; Candidatus Calescibacteriaceae
Description: tRNA-Leu
Rfam family: tRNA
About the family: Transfer RNA (tRNA) molecules are approximately 80 nucleotides in length. Their secondary structure includes four short double-helical elements and three loops (D, anti-codon, and T loops). Further hydrogen bonds mediate the characteristic L-shaped molecular structure. tRNAs have two regions of fundamental functional importance: the anti-codon, which is responsible for specific mRNA codon recognition, and the 3' end, to which the tRNAs corresponding amino acid is attached (by aminoacyl-tRNA synthetases). tRNAs cope with the degeneracy of the genetic code in two manners: having more than one tRNA (with a specific anti-codon) for a particular amino acid; and 'wobble' base-pairing, i.e. permitting non-standard base-pairing at the 3rd anti-codon position.
Source: RNAcentral
GCCGAGGUGGCGGAAUUGGAAGACGCGCAGGACUCAGGAUCCUGUGGGGUUCACCCCCGUGCGGGUUCAAGUCCCGCCCUCGGCACCA